GACGAACGCUGGCGGCGUGCUUAACACAUGCAAGUCGAACGGAAAGGCCCUGCUUUUGUGGGGUGCUCGAGUGGCGAACGGGUGAGGAACACGUGAGUAACCUGCCCUUGACUUUGGGAUAACUUCAGGAAACUGGGGCUAAUACAGGAUAGGAGCUCCUGCUGCAUGGUGGGGGGUGGAAAGUUUCGGCGGUUGGGGAUGGACUCGCGGCUUAUCAGCUUGUUGGUGGGGUAGUGGCUUACCAAGGCAUUGACGGGUAGCCGGCCUGAGAGGGUGACCGGCCACAUUGGGACUGAGGUACGGCCCAGACUCCUACGGGAGGCAGCAGUGGGGAAUAUUGCACAAUGGGCGGAAGCCUGAUGCAGCAACGCCGCGUGCGGGAUGACGGCCUUCGGGUUGUAAACCGCUUUCGCCUGUGACGAAGCGUGAGUGACGGUAAUGGGUAAAGAAGCACCGGCUAACUACGUG
Molecule: ribosomal RNA, 468 nt
Filed under: uncultured bacterium
Lineage: Bacteria
Description: partial 16S ribosomal RNA
Rfam family: Bacterial small subunit ribosomal RNA
Source: RNAcentral